Molecule: ribosomal RNA, 485 nt
Filed under: uncultured bacterium
Lineage: Bacteria
Description: bacterial SSU rRNA
Rfam family: Bacterial small subunit ribosomal RNA
Source: RNAcentral
ACCGGCGCACGGGUGCGUAACGCGUAUGCAAUCUGCCUUGUACUGGGGGAUAGCCCGGAGAAAUCCGGAUUAAUACCCCAUAGUAUAUAGAACUGGCAUCUUUUCUAUAUUAAAGAACUUCGGUACAAGAUGAGCAUGCGUCCCAUUAGCUAGUUGGUAUGGUAACGGCAUACCAAGGCAAUGAUGGGUAGGGGUCCUGAGAGGGAGAUCCCCCACACUGGUACUGAGACACGGACCAGACUCCUACGGGAGGCAGCAGUGAGGAAUAUUGGUCAAUGGACGCAAGUCUGAACCAGCCAUGCCGCGUGCAGGAUGACGGUCCUAUGGAUUGUAAACUGCUUUUAUACGGGAAGAAACCCCUCUACGUGUAGAGGGCUGACGGUACCGUAAGAAUAAGGAUCGGCUAACUCCGUGCCAGCAGCCGCGGUAAUACGGAGGAUCCAAGCGUUAUCCGGAAUCAUUGGGUUUAAAGGGUCCGUAGGCGG